CCUACGGGAGGCAGCAGUAGGGAAUCUUCCACAAUGGGCGAAAGCCUGAUGGAGCAACGCCGCGUGGGUGAAGAAGGUCUUCGGAUCGUAAAACCCUGUUGUUAGAGAAGAAAGUGCGUGAGAGUAACUGUUCACGUUUCGACGGUAUCUAACCAGAAAGCCACGGCUAACUACGUGCCAGCAGCCGCGGUAAUACGUAGGUUGCAAGCGUUAUCCGGAUUUGUUGGGCGUAAAGGGAACGCAGGCGGUCUUUUAAGUCUGAUGUUAAAGCCUUCGGCUUAACCGGAGUAGUGCAUUGGAAACUGGGAGACUUGAGUGCAGAAGAGGAGAGUGGAACUCCAUGUGUAGCGGUGAAAUGCGUAGAUAUAUGGAAGAACACCAGUGGCGAAAGCGGCUCUCUGGUCUGUAACUGACGCUGAGGUUCGAAAGCGUGGGUAGCAAACAGGAUUAGAUACCCGGGUAGUC
Molecule: ribosomal RNA, 465 nt
Filed under: uncultured bacterium
Lineage: Bacteria
Description: partial 16S ribosomal RNA
Rfam family: Bacterial small subunit ribosomal RNA
Source: RNAcentral